AACGAACGCUGGCGGCAUGCCUAACACAUGCAAGUCGAACGAGACCUUCGGGUCUAGUGGCGCACGGGUGCGUAACGCGUGGGAACCUGCCCUUAGGUUCGGAAUAACUCCCCGAAAGGGGUGCUAAUACCGGAUAAUGUCUUCGGACCAAAGAUUUAUCGCCUUUGGAUGGGCCCGCGUUGGAUUAGCUAGUUGGUAGGGUAAAAGCCUACCAAGGCGACGAUCCAUAGCUGGUCUGAGAGGAUGAUCAGCCACACUGGGACUGAGAUACGGCCCAGACUCCUACGGGAGGCAGCAGUGGGGAAUAUUGGACAAUGGGCGAAAGCCUGAUCCAGCAAUGCCGCGUGAGUGAUGAAGGCCUUAGGGUUGUAAAGCUCUUUUACCCGGGAUGAUAAUGACAGUACCGGGAGAAUAAGCUCCGGCUAACCCCGUG
Molecule: ribosomal RNA, 433 nt
Filed under: uncultured bacterium
Lineage: Bacteria
Description: partial 16S ribosomal RNA
Rfam family: Bacterial small subunit ribosomal RNA
Source: RNAcentral